AUAGGUAAAGUUUUUAAGUACCUGACAUGUUUCCACUGUCAUCUGCGUUCUUGUUCAGAGUUGUCAUCUGAAUGCUCCCUCAUCUCAAUUCAUGGUCCGGUCCGCCCGCUUCCUGAUCUCGAUGUCCUGACAGUUUGUGGUGGACUGUGGGGUGUUUGGAGGUCCAGAGCAGGCACUGGUCGGUAUGUGUGGGUUUCCUGUGUAUUGUUACUUUGAUGCUGCUGUCAUCUUUGUGGUUACUUUGCCAACUUUUGACCAUGAAUCGGGAUGAGGGAGCGUCCAUGCUCUACCACACAUGGGACUCUCUCCUCCAGAGCCCAUCAGGUGGCAGGGGGCAUGGCCGACCUGGUGGAUCUAUCGACCACGCCUACAGGAGGAGCACCUUUUUAAAAGUACACGUCACCUUCACCAGAUGACGCCUCUAAAGAAGACUGCAGGUGACACUUAAAACAUGUCAGAUAUUUAAAAAUCUUAACUGUCCCUUUUGUCUUACCAAAAGAAUCAAACACCAUCGCUUUGUUUGGAGCUUUCAGAUGUUCAGAUUUUUGUUAUUCAAGAUUUCCAGAAAGCAAUAACUCAGAGGGAGUUGGAUUUCAGACAUAACGUCACUUUGGAGCUUUCAAAUGGAUUUUUCAGGAAACGAUAAACUCACUUUUUCACUUUGUUUGGCUUUCAGAUGGUGGCGUGCCAACCCAGAUCUGUGAUUUAUUAUUUGUUUAUAAGUAUAUGAAUCAAUAAACAACACGAGACAAAAUCAAAAUUCUGAUUUAAUUUUACAUUUUCACAAUUUCACAUACAUUGAAUCACUGUCAUAUUGGUUCCUGUAACGCUGCUUUAUUUUGAAUGGGCAAAGGUUAUCAUACAUUUUCAAUUUCAGCGGGCAUUUUCAAGGACUGUUUGCAUUCAAGUUUCAGAGAUUUUAACUAUACUGCAUAUAUUUAGAUUCAAGUUUGCAUCUUUACCCGCUGCUGCUGCCGGCCAGUUGUUUGAUAUCACUUUCAGGUUUAGGUGAGUUGGUGAACGUUUGCCUGCAACUUGUGAAAUUGAAUUGGUUUGUUAUCUUUUAGUAGUUGGCCAUUUUGUUGCCAGAUGCAAGAAAAAUAAAAAUGUUGCUCCUUGUUGAGUAUUUUAUGUCACAUAGGGUAGUGUGAAAUUAUGUCUGCAUGCCUUUUAUUAGUUCAUCGCUCAUUGUUUCAACAAACGGAAAUUAAAAAAAAUAUUGAGAACUUCAGAGCAGUUAAAACAAUGAUUCCAUCUUCUAUAUGGCAACAGAAAUUGGACAUACCACAGAUGGGUUGUUUUUCUUGUGCACUAUGUAUUUGCAAACACUAACACAGUCAUCAGGGGAACUCACUGGGUUUGCAUACCUGCAAUCACAUGAUAGAUAUGUAAUUAAUAGUUUAAUUUGCCCCCAGCAUACAUACUUAGAGCAUGAAGGGUGGGUGAUUAAGGCCAUGUCUUGCUAAGAUUUAGAUGAGAAUAUACCACUGUCAAGUCUGUUGAGAGUCCUAGGAUCCAGUUAGCUUAGUUUACACUGCACCUGGCUGCACCGGGAGUGCUUGGCACUUAGCAACACUUAGCGAUGGCCUUCAGAACAUGGUCAUGCCCCCACCUAUACCUUCUCUCUCCCAGUGCCCCAGAUCCUAUUUGCUAUUAUUCAUUUAGUGAUUUUGAUGUGGGAUUUGUUUUAAAGAUCCGGUUCUUAAUUUAUGUUUUUGUUGUUAAGAUGGAGCAUAAUUUCA
Long non-coding RNA from Mugil cephalus (flathead mullet), 1742 nucleotides. RefSeq lists it as uncharacterized. The transcript is spliced from 3 exons. NCBI's taxonomy places the organism in Eukaryota, Metazoa, Chordata, Actinopteri, Mugiliformes, Mugilidae. The record is from RefSeq and is a predicted model, not a curated record.